Molecule: ribosomal RNA, 423 nt
Filed under: uncultured bacterium
Lineage: Bacteria
Description: bacterial SSU rRNA
Rfam family: Bacterial small subunit ribosomal RNA
Source: RNAcentral
AAGACCUUGCACUUUUGGAGCGGCCGAUGUCUGAUUAGCUAGUUGGUAGGGUAAUGGCCUACCAAAGCUUCGAUCAGUAGCUGGUCUGAGAGGACGGCCAGCCACACUGGGACUGAGACACGGCCCAGACUCCUACGGGAGGCAGCAGUGGGGAAUUUUGGACAAUGGGCGCAAGCCUGAUCCAGCCAUGCCGCGUGAGUGAAGAAGGCCUUCGGGUUGUAAAGCUCUUUCAGCCGGGAAGAAAAGGUUGCGAUUAAUAAUCGUAAUUUAUGACGGUACCGGAAGAAGAAGCACCGGCUAACUACGUGCCAGCAGCCGCGGUAAUACGUAGGGUGCGAGCGUUAAUCGGAAUUACUGGGCGUAAAGGGUGCGCAGGCGGUUUUGUAAGUCAGAUGUGAAAUCCCCGGGCUUAACCUGGGAACU